UUUUGUUUCCAUUUCCUUGACCACAGAUAUCCAGGUACUGCAACAGAGACUUUGAUGAUGAGAAGAUCCUUAUCCAGCAUCAGAAAGCAAAACACUUCAAAUGUCACAUAUGUCAUAAAAAGUUGUACACGGGUCCAGGUCUUGCUAUUCACUGCAUGCAGGUUCAUAAGGAAACGAUAGAUGCUGUCCCAAAUGCAAUCCCCGGAAGAACAGAUAUUGAAUUAGAAAUCUAUGGAAUGGAAGGGAUUCCAGAAAAGGAUAUGGAGGAAAGGCGACGACUGCUUGAACAAAAGACUCAAGCGGAAAGUCAAAAAAAGAAGCAGAAAGAUGAUGAUUCUGACGAGUUUGAUGACGACGAUGCAGAAGCUGGGACUUCGUACCAGCAACAGGGGAUGCAGCAACAACAGAAUUUUGUUUCCAGUAUGAACCAGUCAAGCGUGCACCCUGUAACGGGUGCACCAGGAAUUCCUCCAGGGAUGCCACCAGUGGUCCCAGGUGUUCCUCCCAUGAUGCCAGGAAUGCCACCAGUAAUGCCAGGAAUGCCUCCAGGGAUGAUGCCCAUGGGUGGAAUGAUGCCUCCAGGACCUGGAAUGCCACCCAUGAUGCCAGGCAUGCAUCCUGGUGGGUAUUUGAAAACGGUUGGCAGCAAUUUAGGUAUGCCACCGCCUGUUCCACGUCCAGGUGGACCAUCAAUGACCCAAUCGCAGCCAGUGGUUCCACCUGGUAUACCCAGUAGAGCACCAUUACCUGGACCUAGUCCGCAGCCUCCCAUUGCAAAGCCGCUCUUCCCCAGUGCUGGCCAAAUGGGGACUCGUGUUUCGAGCACAACUACAACCUCCACUACAGCUUCAUCAAAUUCGGCAAAUCUCUCAACUUCCUCUAAACCUCUGUUUCCUAGUGCAGCACAAAGCCAGCAGUCUGUCUCCGGACCUGUGGGUACAGAUUUUAAACCCCUCAACAGUACGCCUGCCACUACCGCAGAACCUCCAAAGCCCACGUUCCCAGCAUACACACAGUCAACAGCAACUGCUACCAGCACAUCGAGCAGUUCUACAGCUAAGCCAACCAUCCCUGUAACUAGUAAGCCUGCCACUCUAACCACAACUAGUGCAACUAGUAAGUUGAUCCAUCCAGAUGAGGAUAUAUCACUGGAGGAAAGGAGAGCUCAGUUUCCAAAGUACCAACGUAACAUCCCUCGGCAAGGCCAGACACCUCUGGGGCCACCACCAGUUGGGCCGAUGGGUAGCAUGAUGCCACCACAGCAAGGAAUGCCACCUCAGCAACCAGCAAUGAGACCUCCUAUGCCACCUCCAGGACAGUCCUGCCACCCCCGGUUUCAGCCUCGUGAACGUCCGCUGCACUCCCUCUAUGGUCAGUAUGGUGGUCCGCCACAGGGCAUGCCAGGUUACCUCCCAGGCGGCAUGCCUCCAUAUGGACAGGGCCCUCCAAUGGUGCCCCCUUACCAGGGUGGACCCCCUCGGCCACCAAUGGGAAUGUCAGGAAUGAGGCCUCCUGUAAUGUCACAAGGUGGUCGCUACUGAAGCUGGCGUUAAUAGGUUUUUAGAAGUGAAGUAUAAUAAAUAUGGUCCAUUUAUAUAAUAAAAAAUUGAAGGCGCUGGAGUUACAUGAACGUACAGUACCACCUUUAAAGCCCUGCCAUGGGACAGGCUGAGGCUGAAUCUUAUUGUCCUCUCAGUCUGAGAAUGCUUGGGAAAACUUCCCAAAGACACUUGAAAAAUCAAGGAGUGAAAGGCAGAGAGGAACUUAAAACAAUCGCCAUCAACAGGGAACAGUUAACUAUAACAGCAGCGUUCCGUCACUUGCUUUUUAACGUGUAGGAAAGGAAAUGCCAAGAGCUCUGGCAGUACAGGUUAGUUUAAUCUGCACAUUUCUGUGGAAGAUCUUAACCUAUAAGUGGCAUCAAUUUGUGUGACAUCGCACAUGUGCAGUCAAGAGCAGUCUAAUCUUCUAGAAGUGUUAGAAGAUGCUGCCUGAUCUGCUGAGUUUCUCCAGUAUUGCGUGUUUAUCUUGGAUAUUAUUGCCCUUCUUGCUUCGUAAAAGUGAGUAGGAAGAUGAGGGUAGUCUGUGAACCUUCAUAUUUAAUCCAACCAGGUUUCACAAGGUAGGAGCAAAUUACUGCAGAUGCUGCAAUCUGUUCUGAAAACAACAAAUGCUGGAAAUCAUAGCGGGUCAGGCAGCAUCCAUAGAGAGACAAAAUAUUAGUUUGCUAAGUCUCAAUGACUGCAUCAGGGCACUGGGGCUUGGGUGAAGACUCAGCUAGACUCAACUUUAGUUUGCUCUCUCUCUGUGGAUGCUGUCUGACCCAUGGUGAGCUCCAGCAUUUUUUGUUUUCAGGUUUCAGAAGAUAUUUCCUUUGCAAGAUGAGGCAGCUGAUGGCAGUGAAUAUGCGAGUGUCGGAUGUACGGACUGCAAUACGUUCAUACUACACCUGUACCAGAUUGCUGAUUAAAUCAAAAACCUUCAAGCAA
Rhincodon typus (whale shark) is the source of this 2489-nucleotide RNA transcript. It is a transcript of the gene named zinc finger protein 207, b, with no coding region annotated. The record is from RefSeq and is a predicted model, not a curated record. NCBI's taxonomy places the organism in Eukaryota, Metazoa, Chordata, Chondrichthyes, Orectolobiformes, Rhincodontidae. The transcript is spliced from 17 exons.